AAACCAGAUGCUCCGCAGGGCGCAGCUUUAUACGACCGCAGAGGUUGAACCCUGAAUGGUUGGGGCAAGUAUGGACACAACAUUCAAGCUGGAUUCAGCUCUAAAUUUGGAUUGUGAUUAAAUAGUUGACACAGCAUAGGUUUCUAACACAGAAUGAAUGUGGUCUAAUAAACUUAAAAUUUGUUUUUUGCCUUUGAGCAAUUCACUAUGCUGUUGAAUAUUAAUCCUCUCAAAAAAAUGUUUGAAGAAUUUUCUUUUUUUAUGAU
This 266-nucleotide long non-coding RNA is filed under the name Mytilus galloprovincialis (Mediterranean mussel). The record is from RNAcentral. Lineage: Eukaryota; Metazoa; Mollusca; Bivalvia; Mytilida; Mytilidae.